RNAcentral lists this ribosomal RNA (258 nucleotides) under uncultured bacterium. Its description in RNAcentral is "partial 16S ribosomal RNA". It matches the Rfam family "Bacterial small subunit ribosomal RNA", at positions 57 to 305 of the family's 1533-position model. The record is from RNAcentral.
GCAAGUCGAGGGGUAACAUGAUAAAAGCUUGCUUUUUACUGAUGACGACCGGCGCACGGGUGAGUAACGCGUAUCCCAUCUACCCAUUACACAGGAAUAGCCUUGCGAAAGUAAGAUUAAUGCCUGAUAGUCUUCAUUAGAAUCCUUUCUUUUGAAGUAAAGAUUUAUCGGUAAUGGAUGAGGAUGCGUCCCAUUAGGCAGUUGGUAAGGUAACGGCUUACCAAACCUACGAUGGGUAGGGGUUCUGAGAGGAAGACC